UGGUCCUAAAAAGACCAAAAAAAAAAAAAAAAAAAAAAAAAAAAAGACUGGAAUCAAAGAUGUUAUAAAGGAUCAAAGUAGGAAAGUAGUUACCUCCCUCUAUUUUUAUUUUAGCUGUUUGGUUCCUUUAUGAUGGGACUAUAAUUAAAAUCCCCUGGCAAAAUAAAGACUUGUGCCCUAGCCUGGUCAAUUAGCAGUAUUCACUUUUCCUGGGUAGUAUAAGUGGCUGGUCACAAAGUGGUUUAAAUCCUAAAUGGUACCUCCUGAGUCCAUCCCUUUUUCCUUCUUUUUUUUUUAAAAGGGUUCUUUAGCAAGAUGUCGGGGGUUGGGGGGGCAAUGGGCUGGUGAGGCACCGCAGGUAGCUUAGCAAAUCUUGCCGCUGCCAGGGCGGCAGCAGCUGGGGUGGGAAGAGGGAGAGCAGCUGUGACUGGGUUAUUAGUCAUUCCAUGAAGAAAUUGAUUUGAUAAAUAAUAAAGCAGUGAUAUUAGCAACACAUGCUUGCAGGUCAGAUGACUCUGAUGAAAGCCCCCAGUUAAGUGUGUGUAAUGGUUUGACAAUAUAUAUGCCUUCUAAAAACAUCCUAUUUUAAAAAGGAAAUUGGACUGUUCGUGCAAUUCUUAGCGAAUAUGCCAAGAUCAUUACCAGAGGGAGCUUGGACAUCUAAAGAAUGAUCUUUCUAUUUCAUUUGGCCUCUCCCCUCCCCCUUUCAGACGAUGCUUAAACUUACUUUGUUUCCGUGUCCUUGCCUUUUCAUUUCGUUAACUGUUUUGAUUUGUAAAAUGCUAUGCCUCACAGUACACUCCUUUCUGAUGAUUUACUGUGCCGUUCUUAUCUGUCCCCUUAAAUCCUUGAUAAGAGCAUUUUAAAAAUGAAAUUGCUACCUGGCACUAUUAUAAAAUCUUGGCUGGCAGCCAGGGGAAAAACAAGAGUUGGGGGGAGAAAAAGGAGACGAAGUUUAGAGAAAGGAAACAUUUUUAAAGGAACCAUGGGGUGCUUUUUUCCCCUGAUUUCUGGAAGCUUUUUUUUUUUUUCUCCCUAACUAGAGCAUUAAUAUAGCCUUGUCCGUGUCCCUCACUAUUGCAUGUGAGUCAUGUGAAGACAGCAGUGAGAGGGUUCAUUGGGCCAAGGGUCAUCUGCCGUGAAGAUGAAACUCAGGCAUACCUGUGCUGUGGAUUGAAACUGGAUAGAUGGAUGGAUGAAUGGAUGGCAUUUAAGCACCUCUAUAUUUAUACCCCGCAACGCAUGCUUUUCCUAACUCCUACAUCCCUCUUCUGUUCCCUACACUACUCUGCUUAAAUAAGACAAGUCGAAGCAGGAUCUCCUCCAAUUGCAGAGCUGCUGUAGCUGACUUGCCUCGUGUAAGAUGGGACCGUGUGAUAAAAAUUCUGUGUUGGUGUGGCUGCCUUGCGUGUCUGGAGAUCUCCAUUUAGCCACGGAAGGCAUCAGUGAUGGAAAUCACAGUGCCCACCGGCUUACCUGGCUUGGACAUUAUUCUCAGUCUUCCGAGUGUCACGUGUGAGGACCUGCCAGUCACCGCCUAGAUUUUUGGAGCAGGGAGGAUAUGGCCACAGAGGGGAUGCAUUAUCAUCGGCCCAUCAGGGCCCCUGCGGUCCAGGUGCAGCUGCCGAGCACCGAGCACCUAGGCCACAGUUGGUGGGAGGCCCCUGUGUGUAGCCGGCGACGCUGGAACCAUUAUGCCCCGUCGAUUGCACCCCUCGUGAAAAUAUAAUCCGCCACCAAAAUGACUGCUUUUGGAAACUGUCUUGUCGCUUUUGAGUCGAGACCCGAGACAACCAGACAAGGUUGGGUGGUAACGAAUAAAGAAACAUUACUUUCUGAACACAAUCUUCUGUUACCAGUCACUUUUCAACAGGCAUUCAAUCAAAAUGCUAAUAGCGGCAGCAACCAGGGAACGCGGUUAUUGUAAUACUAAUUGAUUGGUUGGAGGGUGGGUUUUGAUAAGUGCGGCUGAAGAUUUUGGAAAUAUGAUUCUCUUUAAUUACAGCGACACUAAUAAAAACGAACAAGUGAUUUAA
Sus scrofa (pig) is the source of this 2036-nucleotide non-coding RNA. The record is from RefSeq and is a predicted model, not a curated record. NCBI's taxonomy places the organism in Eukaryota, Metazoa, Chordata, Mammalia, Artiodactyla, Suidae.